RNAcentral lists this small RNA (610 nucleotides) under Pongo abelii (Sumatran orangutan). RNAcentral describes it as "processed transcript". The record is from RNAcentral. Lineage: Eukaryota; Metazoa; Chordata; Mammalia; Primates; Hominidae.
AUUACUCAUGAUAAAGAAAAAGCAGAACGAAAAAGAAAAGCUGAAGCUGCUAGGCUACAUCGUCAGAAGAUCAUGGCUCAGAUGUCUGCCUUACAGAAAAACUUCAUUGAAACUCAUAAACUCAUGUAUGACAAUACAUCAGAAAUGCCUGGGAAAGAAGACUCCAUUAUGGAGGAAGAGAGCACCCCAGCAAUCAGUGACUACUCUAGAAUUGCUUUGGGUCCUAAACGGGGUCCAUCUGUUACUGAAAAAGAGGUGCUGACAUGUAUCCUUUGCCAAGAAGAACAAGAGGUGAAAAUAGAAAAUAAUGCCAUGGUAUUAUCGGCCUGUGUCCAGAAAUCUACUGCCUUAACCCAGCACAGGGGAAAACCCAUAGAACUCUCAGGAGAAACCCUAGACCCACUUUUCAUGGAUCCAGACUUGGCAUAUGGAACUUAUACAGGAAGCUGUGGUCAUGUAAUGCAUGCAGUGUGCUGGCAGAACUCCUCCAGAGGCUGAGGCAGAAUCACUUGAACCCAGGAGACGGAGAUUCCAGUGAGCCAAGAUUGCGCCAUUGCACUCCAGCUUGGGACACGAGCGAAACAUCGUCUCAAAAAAAUUAAUAAAUACA